This is a non-coding RNA of Callithrix jacchus (white-tufted-ear marmoset), 3891 nucleotides long. NCBI's taxonomy places the organism in Eukaryota, Metazoa, Chordata, Mammalia, Primates, Cebidae. The record is from RefSeq and is a predicted model, not a curated record.
AUGGAAAGACCUCGGUCCUUCAGGGCCUGCACUUUCAGCUUCUCUGCCUCCAAUUUGGUCUGCUGUUCCACCCUUUGCUCUUCUAGAAUUUCUUCAAUGGAUACUUGCUGGAGGGGUGUGUCACUCUCCUUUUCCAAGUCUAUUUCUCCUAGUAGGACCACACAGGCCCUGAGCUGCCUGGUGGCCCAUGGGAAACAGCUGUUCCUCAUCACCAACAGUCCUUUCAGCUUUGUAGACAAGGGGAUGCGGCACAUGGCGGGUCCUGAUUGGUGCCAGCUCUUUGAUGUGGUCAUCGUCCAGGCGGACAAGCCCAGCUUCUUCACUGACCGGCGCAAGCCUUUCAGAAAACUCGACGAGAAGGGCUCGCUUCAGUGGGACCGGAUCACCCACCUGGAAAAGGGCAAGAUCUAUCAGCAGGGAAACCUGUUUGACUUCCUACGCUUGCCGGAAUGGCGUGGCCCCCACAUGCUCUACUUCGGGGACCACCUCUAUAGUGACCUGGCGGAUCUCAUGCUGUGGCAUGGCUUGCGCAUGGGCGCCAUCAUCCCCAAGCUGGAGCACGAGAUCCGCAUCAACACAGAGCAGUACAUGCUCUUGCUGACGUGGCAGCAGGCGCUCCAGGGCUGCUGGAGUGCAUGCAGACCUAUCAGGACUCGGAGUCAAGGCAGGUGCUGGCUGCCUGGAUGAAAGAGUGGCAGAAGCUGAGGUGCAUCACCAAGGCCCUGUUCAAUGCGCAGUUUGGCAGCAUCUUCCGAACCUUCCACAACCCACCUACUUCUCAAGGCGCCUCGUGCGCUUCUCUGACCUCUACAUGGCCCCCCUCAGCUGCCUUCUCAACUACCGUGUGGACUUCACCCUCUACCCGCGCCACACACACCUGCAGCCUGAGGCCCCACUCUGGAUGGACCAGCUCUGCACCGGCUACAUGAAGACUCCCUUCCUCGGUGACAUGGCUCACAUCUGAUGAGGGCAGCUUUAUUGUCCCGGACAGGCUCCCCACCCUUCCUGCCCCAUCUAACCAGGGCAUCCACCCAGACAAGCAAUAAAAAUGGUCUCCUCCCUGAAAAAAAAAAAGGCCCAGAGCCCUGAAGAUCUCUGGAGUUUUCGGUCUGGGUGGAGGCUCAGCUGCCUGUGGUUGCAGAGGGGCAAACCCAGAGAAACUGUCUUGAUCCACCACAGACGCCACGACAGUUGCCUUGCCUAGGUAAUCCUUCUUGGCCAGCUGAGCCAUUUGGUCGAAACAGUCUGCCCACAGGGAUCACCACGGGCUCAUACAGCUUCUGCUUCCAGACACACUCCAUAGCCUUGUCGAUUUUGGAAUGUCUGGGCUCAGACUUCAUGCUAGUGGCCAAUGCUAACUGUUCCUCAGCUUUUUUCCAUUCCUCCUUCUUGGCAUACAUGAAAGCAAUGUUAUAUAACACCUCAUAGGCAAACAGCUUGAACUGAAGCCCCAGGAUUUCUGUGAGAGAUUCCUUAGCAUUUCUAUGGUGCUAAGCACCCUAGAUUAAUGUUCCAGAGAUGGAACUCUGGAAUGCAGAUUUCCAUAUAAGGCAUAUAUACACUUCACAUUCUUGAUGAUUAUCAAGAAUGAUAAACUUUCAAAUGUUUAUCAUAUGCGGAAAACACUCAUAGCCUCACCAAUGGGCCCUUUUUACAGGAGUGACUCCAUGCCUGUAUGCAGAGUACUUUUUUUUUUUCCCAUGGUUUCUCAAUUUUAAUAUCCUUCAUCCAAAAUUAAGCCCACGAAUCUUCCAGCUCAUCUCUAAAUGUAUGGUAACUGCACCAUGUGGAAGAAUAGCAGUUGUUACACUCCUGUGCACCCCCAUUCUGCUCUCAGUACCCUACAGCAGGCUUGCCCAUCAUCAGAAGACUGAAUCAGUUACUAUUUUCUUUCCUCCGUUAAUCAUAAAUGGAAGUAGCCUUGAUUCUCUUCUUUGAAGCUUAAAAUUGAUAUUAUUUCCUAUUGCCCAGUUUUCUGCAUGAUUCCUCUUCUGCCUCUAAUCGUUUUAAACAGUUAGUGAUUUCUUUCUUUAAAUUUUCUUCUGCCAAGUCACAGGACAUCUCUUUAAGCUUCACUCUCUUCUCCAAGGUAAACCAGUCACACUUAAAUCCCAAAGAUAAUCUGAGAAAUUCUGUGUAGAGUCUUGGAAUGCAGUAAUAUCAUGAGCUGGACUUGUACCUUGGGCCUGUAUCAUCGGAGAAGCUGAUCUUGUAUCCUCCUCUUUCUUACUCUCAAGGUCACAAGUAGCCAUAUUCAGAAUUUCUAAUCCAGAAUCACUUGAAGUUAUAGUACUGUCUGUCAAUGAAGUGGGUCUGGGUAACGGUAGUGAGGAAUGUUCCCUGGACUGCAGCAGGCUCUCAGAACACACGCGUUCAACGUCAUUCUCUUCCAUGCUUGGCUCAUCAUUCAUCCUGAUGCAGCCUGAGAGAUUUGUUCCUUGGUUGGGGCCACCUGUGGGGCCUGGGCACUUGUGAUGUCUUGUUACACCCAAAGCACCGUCCUUUACUUCUCCAUAUGUGAGCCUUUCACACAAAGCAUGGAUUCAGUUGGCUACACCUGAGAAGGGUGUUGAUUCCAGGGUUGGAACUACUGUAAAACUAUCCAGAGAUAAGGCAUCCAGCAGAGGUGUGUACCAGCAUGUAUGUUUCAAGGUCAGGGGUGUCUGAUGUAUUCUUGCUUCUUGACCACCAUACGGUUUGUGGCAACACUGCUUCAAUUUUUCUUGAAGAGGCUGUUGAAUUGCAUUUUUGCAGGAGAGGGAAUCAUAGUGAGGGAAUUCCUCAUCUAAAACGCUCUGAAACAACAAGCCAUGGUGUUCGCCUUCAAUUAACCUCUUUCGAAGUGACUCAACUGUUGUUUUCAGUUUCCUUGUCUUCUGCUGAAGUGCCUGGCAAGUGUUCGAUAACUCAGUUUAUAGUUUGAAGGUUCCAUUGUUCCCAAAUUGCUUCCUCUAAUUUAUGCCAUAAAGACAUAGCUUUUUCACUGGCAGAGUGGGCUUCUCGAUCUUGAUCCUUAACCUGCUCCUCUGCAUCCUCCAGCCAUUGGCUGGCUUCUUGGAGCCUCUUUCUCAGGAUGCCUUCCUGGUUGACAGCAUUUUCUUGCAGUUGUUUAAUGGCUUCUAGUUGUUUCUGACUGGCAAGAAAUUCUUUUCUGAAAUAAAAAUGUUCCUGCCUGAAUCUCUCCUGUGAUUAAUGUUCCAGAGAACAUUCUUGAUUUGGCUUAGCAGAGUAUGACAUACUGGUUUUUUAGUGUCCAUACAAUAUACAUACACCCAGUAGUAUGUAUAUUAAGCAUGCACUUAGUGGUAAUGGAUUUUUUCUCCAUGGCCUAAAUCAAGACCAUUAGAAAGCGCUGGGCCGUGGGAGCAGUAACCAUCUGAUGACUGUCUUAUGCAUCCGGGUCCAGGGACAUGGGCGAUGUGCCUCGUCUGUGUUAGAGGGUGGGAGGGGUGUGUUUGGCGCUGCAUGGGAUCUGCUGCUCCUCUCCUGGAUUCACAUCCCUACCCAGGGCCCGCUUUCACUAGGUGUUCUGCCCUAUCCUGGUUCAAGGAGGUCAUCCAGCUGACUUUACCAAGCAGAAUUGGGAUAGAUUUGAUAUACAUUUGUCUGACAACAUGGAAAAGGGUUUUCCUCCUCCUUUCCCUCCAAGGUACAUUCUACUGCUUCGAACUUCCAAGUAUAUCUAGUGACCUUUUAAAAUAUAAACGUUUUCAGAAAAAUGAGGGUUGCUUUCCUUGUAUGGGCUUAUUUUCUUGACUACCUGAACUGCAAGGGAUUUUUAUAUAUUCAUAUGUUCCAAAGUCAGCAAUUCUCCUGUGGGUUCAUUAUUGAAUGUGCUAUAAAUGAAGUCUUUUGCAAUUAAAAAAAGAUUUGCCCACAUCCAAAAAAAAA